GAUGAAGAACGUAGCGAAAUGCGAUAAGUAGUGUGAAUUGCAGAAUUCAGUGAAUCAUCGAAUCUUUGAACGCACAUUGCGCCCCUUGGUAUUCCAUGGGGCAUGCCUGUUCGAGCGUCAUUUGUACCUUCAAGCUCUGCUUGGUGUUGGGUGUCUGUCUCGCCUCUGCGUGUAGACUCGCCUUAAAACAAUUGGCAGCCGGCGUAUUGAUUUCGGAGCGCAGUACAUCUCGCGCUUUGCACUCAUAACGACGACGUCCAAAAGUACAUUUUUACACUCUUGACCUCGGAUCAGGUAGGGAUACCCGCUGAACUUAAGCAUAUCAAUAAGCGGAGGA
RNAcentral lists this unclassified non-coding RNA (337 nucleotides) under soil metagenome. RNAcentral's name for it is "partial contains 5.8S ribosomal RNA, internal transcribed spacer 2, and large subunit ribosomal RNA". The stretch from base 1 to 120 matches the Rfam family "5.8S ribosomal RNA", at positions 35 to 154 of the family's 154-position model. The record is from RNAcentral.